Molecule: ribosomal RNA, 253 nt
Filed under: uncultured bacterium
Lineage: Bacteria
Description: partial 16S ribosomal RNA
Rfam family: Bacterial small subunit ribosomal RNA
Source: RNAcentral
UACGUAGGUGGCAAGCGUUGUCCGGAUUUACUGGGCGUAAAGAGCGCGCAGGCGGUCGUUCAAGUCGCGUGUGAAAGCCCCCGGCUCAACUGGGGAGGGUCACGCGAUACUGAUCGACUCGAAGGCAGGAGAGGGAAGUGGAAUUCCCGGUGUAGUGGUGAAAUGCGUAGAUAUCUGGAGGAAUACCGGUGGCGAAGGCGGCAUCCUGGACCGACAUUGACGCUGAUGAGCGAAAGCUAGGGGAGCAAACGGG